RNAcentral lists this unclassified non-coding RNA (633 nucleotides) under Hevea brasiliensis (rubber tree). The record is from RNAcentral. Lineage: Eukaryota; Viridiplantae; Streptophyta; Magnoliopsida; Malpighiales; Euphorbiaceae.
ACAUUGAGACGGCUGAGGAGACGGCUAUGUUCAUUCAUUCAUAUGGUAGCAACCACAUGAAAAGAAUCUCAGUUAAUUUGCAAUUGACCAAAAUAUGAGCUUGUGUGAAAUGGUUGCAACUCAUAUUAGGGCAGGGCAUUGCAGGAUCACUUGGCAUGUGUAGGAUCACUUGGCAUGUGUUUAUUUUGUGCGUGAUUCUUUGGUUUGGGUGGAAGAACUGACAGUGGAACGAAUUUGUGAGACCACAAGAUCUGUAUGCUUCUUUUGGCUUGGCAGUGGUUUGCAAUCUGCAAAUAAGGGAUAAAUUCAGUAUUGCCUUGUAAAGUUAUGUACCAACUAUGCCAUCAAUUGUACAUAAAAAAUAUUAUUAGUGUCUUUAUUUUGAGUUACACCUAGAGUGCAUGGAAACUGCUAUUUAAGUGCUGUUAAACCUGGGUCACUGCAAACAGAAUAGAGGGAUUGGUGACAUGCUGUUUUUAUGAAAUCCUAGUUCAAUAAUUUUGUUUUAAUCUGUUAUUUUGGUUGAUAAUUGUAUGAGCCAAAGAAUAUGUGUUAGAAUGUUGAUGAUCUUUUGACAUACAGGUUGAUGUCAAUACUGAAGUUGGGUUGGUUAGAGAUAUUCGUUUGAAAGAG